AAUAGAGUUUGUACCAUCUCCAGUUGGGCUCGGGGACGUGACGCGCUAGCGGCGGUGGAGAGGAACCGGUGGCAGCGUCUCCAAGGCUGCUGUAGCCGCCGAGUACUGGGAGGAAAUUGUGUGUUCUUUGUGACCCAGGAAGAACCAAGCGGUCCUGCUGUUGUUUGUAGAACGGAGGGCAAAGUUUGUACCAACUUCAGGAAAGUCGUGACGUGCUGUCAGAUCAUGGUGGUGAUGGAAGGGGAAAGAUGUCACCUGGACAGGAUUGGGAUAAGAGACAAAUGGGAUUUUUGUCACUCACGACUAAUUGCAAUUGAUAGAAGAUGACAAGGAGGUAAUCGGAAAUGUCAUGAACUUGACUUGGGGCGUAGAGUCAGAAGUGAAGUAGCAUGAUGUCUGGAUAAACCUCGGUCUUCUUCUCUCAGCUUGGUGGUUUCAUAUUUUCAGUUCCUCCAGCAAGGAUAUUUGAUUGGUUGUUCUGACAGAGAGCCGUGGUGGCAAAUAUGUUUCAGUCACUUGUGUCACAGCACAAGAACUGAGCAGAAAGCAAUGGUAAUUGUGGGUGAAAAUAAUAAAUGUUUAGAGGUUGCUUCCCACUGGAAAAGGCUUAGGUCCCGGACCAAGGCUGUCCCGUAGACCGUUGUGCAGCGGCAGGAAUGCUGUGCACACGCUGCUCAGUAGGAGUGGCAGCCACACGCAGGGCGGGAUGUGACUCACGCAGCAGAGAAACGGGGUUUUCUCUUUAUUUUGUUUUGUUUGUUAUCUUGAGACAGAGUCUCACUGUGUAG
This is a long non-coding RNA of Octodon degus (degu), 788 nucleotides long. RefSeq lists it as uncharacterized. The transcript has 4 exons. Lineage: Eukaryota; Metazoa; Chordata; Mammalia; Rodentia; Octodontidae. The record is from RefSeq and is a predicted model, not a curated record.